UACGGGGGGGCAAGCGUUGUUCGGAAUUCCUGGGCGUAAAGGGCUCGUAGGUGGCCAACUAAGUCGGACGUGAAAUCCCUCGGCUUAACCGGGGAACUGCGUCUGAUACUGGACGGCUUGAGUUUGGGAGAGGGACGCGGAAUUCCAGGUGUAGCGGUGAAAUGCGUAGAUAUCUGGAGGAACACCGGUGGCGAAGGCGGCAUCCUGGACCGACACUGACACUGAGGAGCGAAAGCCAGGGGAGCAAACGGG
RNAcentral lists this ribosomal RNA (252 nucleotides) under uncultured bacterium. RNAcentral describes it as "partial 16S ribosomal RNA". It matches the Rfam family "Bacterial small subunit ribosomal RNA", at positions 524 to 776 of the family's 1533-position model. The record is from RNAcentral.